CACGAUACGACAUUGCAUUUCUGAAGAGGGAAGAAGAAAUCAACAUGCAAAUUCAAUUCCAUGGUUUUGGAAGUCCCAUUGAGAACACGAUUCAUUUGCGCCGGCAUAAUGCUCUGACCGAGAAAGAAUUGUGGUAAUUGCAUGACAGUUUGACUGGUUCGUUGAGAGUGAGGAACCUAUGGACUCUCACACACCAAGAUGGAAUUUAGUUCGAAGAGUGACUUCAAAAUGUUCCGCAAGUUUUAGCGUAAACUGGUGGAGACUUUCGGUGCUUGCAAAAAGGCUCACCUCUCCGUUAAUACCGAAGGAAAAUGGGAGUUCAAAAAACCAUACGAUUAGACUGUUUUGAUGAGGAAUUUAAAGAUUACGAGUCGUGUCCGUUUGACUCACAGUUUGGUACCAUAGGUUGGUACGAUCUUCGUUGGAGAAGGAAAAGGGAUGUUCCAGAUCCAGAAAAUCGUCAAACCAUUUACUACAAAGUCCGUUUCUGGGUGGAGUUAGUGGAACCGAAAAAGAUGUCUCCCUCACAGCGUUUGUGACACAAGAAUUGCAUCGUUCCUUGGCGGCCUUUCAAC
Molecule: long non-coding RNA, 575 nt
Organism: Stegostoma tigrinum
Lineage: Eukaryota; Metazoa; Chordata; Chondrichthyes; Orectolobiformes; Stegostomatidae
Exons: 5
Source: RefSeq, a predicted model, not a curated record